CAGCCCCCGAGAACCUCGGCGGCGGUGCUACUCCCUGUUCCCUCUUUGGCAUUUGGACGACGCUGUGGUCUGCGCCCCCCACCCCCAGUUCGUACGUUGACUCGCUGGCCCCCAGCAUGAUGGAGUUUGGAGGGGGAGGCCUUGCAGGGGAUUAGGUGUAGAUAAUGUCCCGAGGGUAAGGCCCCCGGGGCGAGGUGGGCUUAGCAUCCUCACAAGAAGCGUGAGGGAGACCAGAGCUCGCGCGCACCCUCUCACCCUCUUUCGCUCCUCAUGCCCCGUGAAGAUGCCCUGAGAAGGCGGCCUCUGCAAGCCAGGAAGCAGAUCUCGCCGGGAGCCAAGUCUGCGGCACCUUGACCUUCCACUUCUGGCCUCCAGAACAGUGAGGAAACCCUGAAUUGGAAGGUGAAGAGAAGAAAGUGGACUUUUGGCACUAUUGGGAAAUAAUUCUUCAUUAUGCAAGACUUUAUUACAUCCUUGCUAUAGGAGAGGAAGAAUUAACAAGGUAACUCCUCAACUACCUCAGGAAAACACCUCCAGGCUUACAAAACAAGGCGCUCCCCAUAUCUCCUUGCUUCUCACAACACCAGCGAGGCCAGCAGUUCCAUCCUCAUCUCAGAAACCAGAGACUGUCAGCAGAGAGGUAAGGCACAUGGACCCAACUCAGGUCAGACAACCCACAAGGGGAGUCAGCCAGACUCAAUUUCACCUUCUGGUUUCAAGUGGCAGGAGCUGGCUUUUAAUGAGCAAUUAGCAUGUGCGGUGCAUUUCCUGUGACACUUGCCCGCAGUAGUUUGCCUGAUUCUGUGAGGACUUGACGGCGAGGCUC
Molecule: long non-coding RNA, 826 nt
Organism: Lutra lutra (Eurasian river otter)
Lineage: Eukaryota; Metazoa; Chordata; Mammalia; Carnivora; Mustelidae
Exons: 3
Source: RefSeq, a predicted model, not a curated record